ACUAGAGUAUGAUAGAGGUAAGCGGAAUUUCUAGUGUAGAGGUGAAAUUCGUAGAUAUUAGAAAGAACACCAAUUGCGAAGGCAGCUUUCUGGAUCAUAACUGACACUGAGGAGCGAAAGCAUGGGUAGCGAAGAGGAUUAGAUACCCUCGUAGUCCAUGCUGUAAACGAUGUGUGCUAGACGUUGGAAACUUAGUUUUCAGUGUCGCAGCAAAAGCGUUAAGCACACCGCCUGGGGAGUACGACCGCAUGGUUAAAACUCAAAUGAAUUGACGGGGACCCGCACAAGCAGUGGAGCAUGUGGUUUAAUUCGAAGAUACGCGCAGAACCUUACCAACACUUGACAUGUUCGUCGCGACUCUAAGAGAUUAGAGUCUUCGGUUCGGCCGGACGAAACACAGGUGCUGCAUGGCUGUCGUCAGCUCGUGUCGUGAGAUGUUGGGUUAAGUCCCGCAACGAGCGCAACCCUUACUUUUAGUUGCCACCAUUUAGUUGGGCACUCUAAAAGAACUGCCAGUGAUAAGCUGGAGGAAGGUGGGGAUGACGUCAAGUCCUCAUGGCCCUUACGUGUUGGGCUACACACGUGCUACAAUGGUACUUACAAUGAGAUGCGAAGAGGCGACUCUAAGCCAAUCCCACAAAGGUACCUCAGUUCGGAUUGUACUCUGCCACUCGAGUACAUGCAGCUGGCAUUGCUA
RNAcentral lists this ribosomal RNA (697 nucleotides) under uncultured bacterium. Its description in RNAcentral is "bacterial SSU rRNA". It matches the Rfam family "Bacterial small subunit ribosomal RNA", at positions 640 to 1337 of the family's 1533-position model. The record is from RNAcentral.